Molecule: ribosomal RNA, 301 nt
Filed under: uncultured bacterium
Lineage: Bacteria
Description: partial 16S ribosomal RNA
Rfam family: Bacterial small subunit ribosomal RNA
Source: RNAcentral
CAGCCGCCACGGUAAUACGGAGGAUCCGAGCGUUAUCCGGAAUUAUUGGGUUUAAAGGGUGCGUAGGCGGAUAGAUAAGUCAGUGGUGAAAGACGGUGGCUCAACCAUCGCAGUGCCGUUGAUACUGUUUAUCUUGAAUAUGGAUGAGGUAGGCGGAAUGUGGCAAGUAGCGGUGAAAUGCAUAGAUAUGCCACAGAACACCGAUUGCGAAGGCAGCUUACCAAGGCAAAAUUGACGCUGAGGCACGAAAGCGUGGGGAUCGAACAGGAUUAGAUACCCCCGUAGUCCCUGUCUCUUAUAU